This 711-nucleotide long non-coding RNA is filed under the name Marmota monax (woodchuck). The record is from RNAcentral. Lineage: Eukaryota; Metazoa; Chordata; Mammalia; Rodentia; Sciuridae.
AGCUGGUCUACUCGGGGCCUGUGCUCUGGGCCUGUGGCGGUUCAGGGAGUGCGGGGGCCGGGGUCCACCUGGGCGGACCCGAGACCUGAGAACGUAGGCGGGCAGCGCCUGCAGGUUCCUCGCGCGGACGGGCGUGGCUGGGCCUCUGCGCGACCCGGGCUCCUUCUCCCCGCGGCGGCGGGAUUGGAUUCCCAAAACCAGGGUGGGGUUGGGGGACGAGAUGACAUAAUGAGCCAGUCUUCUUGCUGACACUUAAGUUGUUCUCAGUCCUCUGUUAUAUAGGCUGCAGCGAGUAUGCCAGUAUAUGAUGCUUUUAGGUGGGUUUGUGAAAUUAGAAUAACAAAGCCAUCUAUAUAAGUUUGAGAAAUAAUGCUGCAAAGUAGGAGGCUAGUGAUUGGUUCUGCAGACAGUUCAUCUACUCGUGAAGAUGCACAGGGAGACAAACUUAACCCGUGAGCAGAGGUGAAGACUGGAAUUUCAGGCAUCUUCUAACAGGUAGAGAAAGGGGAGUUGGAAAGACCUGCUUUCUGGAGUUUCAAAUUUUAAGUUCAUUUAUUAUGUGCUUUAAUCAUUCUAGUCUCAGUUGUCAGAGUUUGAAUCAAAUUAUGUUUAUGGUUAAUUGGUUAUUUUUCAUUAUGUGGUGCAAAAUACAGUAAUAAGGACCGUUUCUUGUAUGCUAACUUUAAAAUAUAUAUAUAUAUAUAUAUAUAU